Papio anubis (olive baboon) is the source of this 151-nucleotide unclassified non-coding RNA. It matches the Rfam family "Metazoan signal recognition particle RNA". From Rfam's summary of the family: The signal recognition particle (SRP) is a universally conserved ribonucleoprotein. NCBI's taxonomy places the organism in Eukaryota, Metazoa, Chordata, Mammalia, Primates, Cercopithecidae. The record is from Ensembl.
GCUGGGCGUGGUGGCGUGUGCCUGUAGUCCCAUCUACUUGGGAGGCUGAGGUGGGAGGAUGGCUUGAGCCAAGGAGGUGGAGGUUGCAGUGAGUCAUGAUCGUGCUGCCACUGCACUUUAGCCUGGGCAACAGAGCCAGACCCUAUCUCAG